RNAcentral lists this transfer RNA (85 nucleotides) under Pleurospermum foetens. Its description in RNAcentral is "tRNA-Leu". It matches the Rfam family "tRNA". From Rfam's summary of the family: Transfer RNA (tRNA) molecules are approximately 80 nucleotides in length. Their secondary structure includes four short double-helical elements and three loops (D, anti-codon, and T loops). RNAcentral also lists the same sequence under 5 other names. Lineage: Eukaryota; Viridiplantae; Streptophyta; Magnoliopsida; Apiales; Apiaceae. The record is from RNAcentral.
GGGGGUAUGGCGAAAUUGGUAGACGCUGCGGACUUAAAAUCCGUUGACUUUAAAAAUCGUGAGGGUUCAAGUCCCUCUAUCCCCA